Molecule: ribosomal RNA, 292 nt
Filed under: uncultured Verrucomicrobiota bacterium
Lineage: Bacteria; Pseudomonadati; Verrucomicrobiota
Description: uncultured Verrucomicrobia bacterium partial 16S ribosomal RNA
Source: RNAcentral
GGACUACUGGGGUAUCUAAUCCCGUUUGCUCCCCUGGCCUUCGUGCCUCAGUGUCAGGAACUGUCCAGAGAUCCGCCUUCGCCACUGGUCUUCCUCACGAUAUCUACGCAUUUCACUGCUACACCGUGAAUUCCAAUCUCCUCUCCAGUCCUCAAGCACCGCAGUAUCGAAUGCAGUUCCGGAGUUAAGCUCCGGGAUUUCACAUCCGACUUACGGCACCACCUACGCACCCUUUACGCCCAAUGAAUCCGAACAACGCUUGAGACCUCUGUAUUACCGCGGCUGCUGGCAC